AGAGUUUCGAUCCGUGGCGUCAGGACGAACGCUGGCGGCGUGCUUAACACAUGCAAGUCGAACGGAAAGGCCCUGCUUUUGUGGGGUGCUCGAGUGGCGAACGGGUGAGUAACACGUGAGUAACCUGCCCUUGACUUUGGGAUAACUUCAGGAAACUGGGGCUAAUACCGGAUAGGAGCUCCUGCUGCAUGGUGGGGGUUGGAAAGUUUCGGCGGUUGGGGAUGGACUCGCGGCUUAUCAGCUUGUUGGUGGGGUAGUGGCUUACCAAGGCUUUGACGGGUAGCCGGCCUGAGAGGGUGACCGGCCACAUUGGGACUGAGAUACGGCCCAGACUCCUACGGGAGGCAGCAGUGGGGAAUAUUGCACAAUGGGCGGAAGCCUGAUGCAGCAACGCCGCGCGCGGGAUGACGGCCUUCGGGUUGUAAACCGCUUUCGCCUGUGACGAAGCGUGAGUGACGGUAAUGGGUAAAGAAGCACCGGCUAACUACGUG
RNAcentral lists this ribosomal RNA (491 nucleotides) under uncultured Propionibacterium sp. RNAcentral's name for it is "bacterial SSU rRNA". It matches the Rfam family "Bacterial small subunit ribosomal RNA", at positions 1 to 507 of the family's 1533-position model. The record is from RNAcentral. Lineage: Bacteria; Bacillati; Actinomycetota; Actinomycetes; Propionibacteriales; Propionibacteriaceae.